AGUAGGGUAGUGAACAAAAGAUCUGCAUGGUCGCAGUUCCCGGAAGGCUUACCGAAGCAAAACGACCCCAGUUCAAAUAAUAAUAAUAAUGAUAUGGCCAUAUAUGCGCAAGUCUUUACUCAAAACACGUCGUUCAGAAACUUACUCUGACAAAUGUCAUUUAAACAAGUAAACAAAUUUAUAGGUUAAAUUAUAUUUGUACACAAUGAUAUGAUAACAUUAUUUUAUAUCUUGAAUUGUUGCUAUCGUAAAUGUAUAAUAUAACAAAAGUAAGAGAAAUUGCCGGUCGCUGUAGUCUGUAUUUUUCAUUGGUUUCUGUUAAGGCUAUUAUUAUGGUUUCUCUUUCAGUUCGGUCUGCCUACUUUAUAGCCAGUAAACAUUAUAUAUACCAUGGAUCCUAUAGAUGAAAUUAUAAAGUUCUCUUGGGAACUUAUGAAUAUGAGUGAAGGAGAGUCUUCCUGUGAAAAUGGCGAGUUGGUAGCCCAUGAACUAGCAAAUGGCUGUGGACAGAAACCUGUGAGAAUUGAAAAUUAUUUGUUCCAUACUGUACCCAAUCUCACAGCAGAACAAUUCAGGAUGCAUUUCAGAAUGAAUAUAGGUACAUUUGAAAAAGUAUUAGCAGCUGUUGGUCAAACUUGAUGAACAUUCACUCAGAUGGCAAACUGUUGAGCCAAAAAAACAAUUAUUGAGUGUUAUUUGGCUUCUAGCUACACCUGAUUUGUUUAGGUCUGUUGGAGAGAGAUUAGAUAUGGCAAAAUCCACUCUUUUCAAUUCUUUCAUCAGAGUUACCUAUGUGCUGAAUAAUAUAGCGCCAAUGAUAAUUAAAUGGCCAUCGGGAGAAUGCUGAAGUGAAGGAGAGUUUUUCAUUAACUGGCCUUGAUUCAUGCCUGGGUAUGAUAGAUGGCAGUUAUAUACUAAUAAAAGGACCCAGAAUUUUAUGUUUGUCGUAAAAAAUUUCACGCAAUCACUCUACAAGCAAUCUGUGAUCACAAGCUUAAGUUCAUAGAUUGUUAUGCUGAAUAUCCAGCUUCUAUGAAUGACUGCCGGAUAUUUAAGAAGUCAGAUAUUUAUAGAAAUAUAAUAUCAAACCCUAUUCAAUACUUUCCAGUUGAAUUAUGAUCAUGUUUCAAAAGGCUUAUGUUGAAGUUCUGCCAAUUGAAGAUUCCAAUUCUAAAUCAAUCCUUCGAUUUCCUGGAUUUUUGUCAGUAAUCACAAAAAUAAUUAUUUUAUUGUCAAUCUUCAAAUGAAAUGUUUCCUUCUUUGAUAGUUAAGUGGUACAAUACGUUAUAUAUAAUUCGAUUCAAUUAUUUCAUUAAAAUCUUCACAAAUAUCAAUUUGUAUAAUUAUGUGCAAUAAAAAGAAUGUCAAAAUUUGUUGAGUAUUAUUACUUAAGUAAAAAUUAAGUUGGAUGCAAAAUCUCACUGAAAUAUUGAAAAAACUGUAAUUGAUAUUACAGUUUUUUCACAAUUUUCGGUGCAGGUUUUCAUUCAAAUUGUGAGUCGUUUCGAAUUAUGAAAUAAUAAGGAGCCAAAUGCGCAGAAUCAACAUCAUUAAUUCCAUUCCCUGCCCAUAAGGUCGCCACAAUCACGCUUAUUUAUUUUACCGUUGAGUCGUCACUCUUUCCCUCCUUUCUCUAUGGGUUUAGUUGUUAGGAAUGGUGCAUAAGAUGCUUGAAGAGUUGAAAUGGAAAUGUUAAUGCACAUAAUAAAACCCAGAUUCAAAACAUUCCUUGAUUCAUAACUAAUCAACAUCACAACAUAUUUCAUCAGAUUAAAGCAUUCUCAAUAGAAUGUAUUAGCCUGUAAAAGCACUAUGCCUCAGAGCCUAGGGUCUCAGUGAAUAACUUAUGAUAACCAUAUUUGAAGAAAUUCAUAUCUUUCAAACCGGCCCGACAUCUAUUGCAUCAAUCAGUAAAUCGAAAAAAACCUGCAAGUCGGAUAAAAAUCCACCGAUUAGCAACUCUGGUAUCCUAAUAGCACUUACUAUUUCCUCAGUCUAUUUCUCAAAAUAUUUGGGCUACUUCUUCUGAAGACAACAUAUAUACAACAUAUGGUUAUUCCCAUAGCCAUAUUAAGCUAUUUCAGAUAUCAUGAAAACCUGUACCAAACAGUUCCUAAAUGUGAAUCGUUUAGCUAUUUCAAUACAAUUCUGAUACGAAUAUCUCAAUAUUUUUCUUUAAAAAAAAAUUAAAUGUGCGUUAUUCCCAUAGCCAUAUUAAGCUAUUUCAAUACUAUUUUCAUCUGAAUAACUCAAUAUUUCUCAUUACAAACGCCUUAUUCCCAUAGCCAUUUCAACAAUCAAGUCAUGCAAAAACUCAGUAUUUCUCAAAAAAAAAUUAAAAACGCGUUUUUCUCAUAGUAUAUUCGCAUGUGUUGCCAUUAAUUCAAUGACUCCAUCCUUCCCAACACCUCUCUUUCUUUGAUAGUCUGCAAAGCUAUGCAAGUAGAAGCCAUGUGAGGGCCAGUCCAUGUUGUUAUAGGUCUAUGGAAGAAUCUGAUCGCAGGUUAAUAUUCAUCUUGGGAAAUUCUUCAUUCUAUUGAAACUAUGUAAGAAAUGAGGUAUAUUUAUUUAUUACUAAUUAAUUAAAAACAUUGUAUUUUACGAGAGUUUAUUUACUGUAUAUUGUUUACAUAAGAAAUCUACUAAAAUAACUCAUAAAAUGGAAAUUAUUUCUUAAAAAAAUUAUGAAACUAGCUUGUUUUCAUUUUCUUCUUGAGAAGACAUACUGCCUGCUUCCUCUGGUCUAUGUUUCCUGUGACGUGGAUUGCCAGCUAUCUCACCAUUGCUUUGGUCAUCUAAUGGGUCUUCUUCCGAGGGGUUUGUUGUCCCUGGUGAUCUUUGCCAUUCUGUCUAGGCUCCUUCUGUCCACAUGCUGGUUCCAUCUGACCACAUCGUCCACUUGGCACUUCUCUCUUAUAAUAUAAUUUUUCUGUCUGUCCGCCAGAUUGUAUCUCGUUAUUGUUCUUAGGAUCUUCAUUUCGGCUAUGGUCUCUGCUCCAUUGAUAGUUUUCAUUUUGAAAUAUAAUAAUUCACUUAUAUUCUAUAUUCAAGUUAAAUAUCGAUUUUGUAAUAUUAAUCCUUACUAAGAAACAAUUAACCACGCCACUGGAAUGUUUACUGCACCUCUAUUUGUCAAUUUUGCGGGUUUGUUGUUUUCCUACCUCACUUUAUCAUCUUACUGAUGCAACUUAUAUGUCUUUUAAGAAAUUCUUGAACGCUUUAAACAUACUCACAGUGACAUUUACAUUCUUUUUCAUUCAAAUGGACACAAACCAUAUUAAUUUUGAGGUAAACUUCCCAGUUGGCUGCAUAAUCACAUAAGUAAUUCUUUUAUGUUCAAAUAGACAGAAUCUAUAGCUUUUCGAGGUCAUUUCCUGAUUCUUUAUGCUUUUUGAGGUUAUUUUUCUGAUUGGCUGCAUACUUAUGUAAGUCACAUUUAUGUUCUUUUUAAUUCAAAUGGACAGAAUCUAUAUGCCUUUUGAGGUGAAACUUAUGUUUGGCUGCAUAAUCACAUAAGUGACAUUUAUGUUAUCUUUUAUUCAAAUGCACAGAAUCCAUAUGAAUUUUGAGAUAAACUUUCUGGCUGGCUGCAUAAUCACAUAGGUGUUAUUUAUGUUCUUUUUUAUUCAAAUGGACAGAAUCUAUAUGCUUUUCGAGGUCAUUUCCUGAUUCUAUAUGCUUUUUGAGGUUAUUUUUCUGAUUGGCUGCAUACUCAUGUAAGUCACAUUUAUGUUCUUUUUAAUUCAAAUGGACAGAAUCUAUAUGCCUUUUGAGGUGAAACUUAUGCUUGGCUGCAUAAUCACAUAAGUGACAUUUAUGUUAUCUUUUAUUCAAAUGCACAGAAUCCAUAUGAAUUUUGAGAUAAACUUUCUGGCUGGCUGCAAAAUCACAUAGGUGUUAUUUAUGUCCUUUU
Harmonia axyridis is the source of this 3913-nucleotide long non-coding RNA. RefSeq lists it as uncharacterized. The record is from RefSeq and is a predicted model, not a curated record. The transcript has 5 exons. NCBI's taxonomy places the organism in Eukaryota, Metazoa, Arthropoda, Insecta, Coleoptera, Coccinellidae.